RNAcentral lists this ribosomal RNA (253 nucleotides) under uncultured bacterium. RNAcentral's name for it is "partial 16S ribosomal RNA". It matches the Rfam family "Bacterial small subunit ribosomal RNA", at positions 524 to 776 of the family's 1533-position model. The record is from RNAcentral.
UACGAAGGGGGCGAGCGUUGUUCGGAUUUACUGGGCGUAAAGGGCGCGCAGGCGGCUUUGUUUGUCAGGCGUGAAAGCCCCGGGCUUAACCUGGGAACUGCGUUUGAUACGGCAGGGCUAGAGUUCGGGAGAGGAGAGUGGAAUUCCCAGUGUAGAGGUGAAAUUCGUAGAUAUUGGGAAGAACACCGGUGGCGAAGGCGGCUCGCUGGGACGUUACUGACGCUGAGACGCGAAAGCGUGGGGAGCAAACAGG